Molecule: ribosomal RNA, 609 nt
Filed under: uncultured bacterium
Lineage: Bacteria
Description: bacterial SSU rRNA
Rfam family: Bacterial small subunit ribosomal RNA
Source: RNAcentral
CUCUUCGGAGAUAGUGGCAGACGGGUGAGUAACGCGUGGGAACCUACCUUAUUCUACGGAAUAACAGUUAGAAAUGACUGCUAAUACCGUAUACGCCCUUCGGGGGAAAGAUUUAUCGGAGUAGGAUGGGCCCGCGUUGGAUUAGCUAGUUGGUGGGGUAAUGGCCUACCAAGGCGACGAUCUAUAGCUGGUCUGAGAGGAUGAUCAGCCACACUGGAACUGAGACACGGUCCAGACUCCUACGGGAGGCAGCAGUGGGGAAUAUUGGACAAUGGGCGCAAGCCUGAUCCAGCCAUGCCGCGUGAGUGAUGAAGGCCUUAGGGUUGUAAAGCUCUUUCAACGGUGAAGAUAAUGACGGUAACCGUAGAAGAAGCCCCGGCUAACUUCGUGCCAGCAGCCGCGGUAAUACGAAGGGGGCUAGCGUUGUUCGGAAUUACUGGGCGUAAAGCGUACGUAGGCGGAUUAGAAAGUUAGGGGUGAAAUCCCAGGGCUCAACCCUGGAACUGCCUCUAAAACUCCUAAUCUUGAGUUCGAGAGAGGUGAGUGGAAUUCCGAGUGUAGAGGUGAAAUUCGUAGAUAUUCGGAGGAACACCAGUGGCGAAGGCGGCU